CCUACGGGGGGCAGCAGUGGGGGAUAUUGCACAAUGGGGGAAACCCUGAUGCAGCGACGCCGCGUGGGUGAAGAAGCGCCUCGGCGCGUAAAGCCCUGUCAGCAGGGAAGAAAAUGACGGUACCUGAAGAAGAAGCCCCCGCUAACUACGUGCCAGCAGCCGCGGUAAUACGUAGGGGGCAAGCGUUAUCCGGAUUUACGGGGUGUAAAGGGGGCGCAGACGGCGAUGCAAGCCAGGAGUGAAAGCCCGGGGCCCAACCCCGGGACUGCUCUUGAAACUGCGUGGCUAGAGUGCAGGAGGGGCAGGCGGAAUUCCUGGUGUAGCGGUGAAAUGCGUAGAUAUCAGGAGGAACACCGGUGGCGAAGGCGGCCUGCUGGACUGCAACUGACGUUGAGGCCCGAAAGCGUGGGGAGCAAACAGGAUUAGAUACCCCUGUAGUC
Molecule: ribosomal RNA, 440 nt
Filed under: uncultured bacterium
Lineage: Bacteria
Description: partial 16S ribosomal RNA
Rfam family: Bacterial small subunit ribosomal RNA
Source: RNAcentral